This 495-nucleotide ribosomal RNA is filed under the name uncultured bacterium. RNAcentral's name for it is "partial 16S ribosomal RNA". It matches the Rfam family "Bacterial small subunit ribosomal RNA", at positions 28 to 507 of the family's 1533-position model. The record is from RNAcentral.
GACGAACGCUGGCGGCGUGCCUAAUACAUGCAAGUAGAACGCUGAAGGAGGAGCUUGCUUCUCUGGAUGAGUUGCGAACGGGUGAGUAACGCGUAGGUAACCUGCCUGGUAGCGGGGGAUAACUAUUGGAAACGAUAGCUAAUACCGCAUAAGAGUAGAUGUUGCAUGACAUUUGCUUAAAAGGUGCAAUUGCAUCACUACCAGAUGGACCUGCGUUGUAUUAGCUAGUUGGUGGGGUAACGGCUCACCAAGGCGACGAUACAUAGCCGACCUGAGAGGGUGAUCGGCCACACUGGGACUGAGACACGGCCCAGACUCCUACGGGAGGCAGCAGUAGGGAAUCUUCGGCAAUGGACGGAAGUCUGACCGGGCAACGCCGCGUGAGUGAAGAAGGUUUUCGGAUCGUAAAGCUCUGUUGUAAGAGAAGAACGAGUGUGAGAGUGGAAAGUUCACACUGUGACGGUAUCUUACCAGAAAGAGACGGCUAACUACGUG